GUGUGGUAGGGGCAGAGGGAAUUCCCGGUGUAGCGGUGAAAUGCGUAAAUAUCGGGAAGAACACCAGUGGCGAAGGCGCUCUGCUGGGCCAUAACUGACGCUCAUGGACGAAAGCCAGGGAGCGAAAGAGCUUAGAUACCCCUGUAGUCCUGGCCGUAAAUGAUGAACACUAGGUGUCGGGGGAAUCGACCCCCUCGGUGUCGUAGCCAACGCGUUAAGUGUUCCGCCUGGGGAGUACGCACGCAAGUGUGAAACUCAAAGGAAUUGACGGGGGCCCGCACAAGCGGUGGAGUAUGUGGUUUAAUUCGAUGCAACGCGAAGAACCUUACCAGGGUUUGACAUCCUGCGAAUCCCUUGGAAACGAGGGAGUGCCUUCGGGAGCGCAGAGACAGGUGGUGCAUGGCUGUCGUCAGCUCGUGUCGUGAGAUGUUGGGUUAAGUCCCGCAACGAGCGCAACCCACGUCGUUAGUUGCCAGCAUUAAGUUGGGCACUCUAGCGAGACCGCCGGUGAUAAACCGGAGGAAGGUGUGGAUGACGUCAAGUCAUCAUGCCCCUUACAUCCUGGGCUACACACGUACUACAAUGCUACGGACAAAGGGCAGCAAACUCGCGAGAGCUAGCAAAUCCCAUAAACCGUGGCUCAGUUCAGAUCGUAGGCUGCAACUCGCCUACGUGAAGGAAGAAUCGCUAGUAAUCGCAGGUCAGCAUACUGCGGUGAAUACUUUCCCGGGCCUUCUACACACCGCCCGUCACACCAUGGAAGUUGGCCACGCCCGAAGCCGUUACUCCAACCCUUGUGGAGGAGGACGUCGAAGGUGGGGCUGAUGACUGGGGUGAAGUCGUAACAAGGUAGCCGUACCGGAAGGUGUGGCUGGAUCACCUCCUAA
RNAcentral lists this ribosomal RNA (887 nucleotides) under uncultured Synechococcus sp. RNAcentral's name for it is "bacterial SSU rRNA". It matches the Rfam family "Bacterial small subunit ribosomal RNA", at positions 646 to 1533 of the family's 1533-position model. Lineage: Bacteria; Bacillati; Cyanobacteriota; Cyanophyceae; Synechococcales; Synechococcaceae. The record is from RNAcentral.